AUUAUUUAAUUUAUAUUAAAAUAUAAGUUUUGGAGACUUAAAAAAUAUAUUUUUAUAUAAUAAUUAA
This 67-nucleotide transfer RNA is filed under the name Didemnum perlucidum. RNAcentral describes it as "tRNA-Pro". Lineage: Eukaryota; Metazoa; Chordata; Ascidiacea; Aplousobranchia; Didemnidae. The record is from RNAcentral.